This 351-nucleotide ribosomal RNA is filed under the name Triticum aestivum (bread wheat). Its description in RNAcentral is "partial small subunit ribosomal RNA". Lineage: Eukaryota; Viridiplantae; Streptophyta; Magnoliopsida; Poales; Poaceae. The record is from RNAcentral.
AUGCAUGGUCUGCAGCUGCCGCUCCUCCAAGUUGCCCUUCGCUGCGCAAAGGACCUCGAUCUUGUCCGCUGCAUUGGGGAUCUUGGGCAUGCGGUUUCCCCCACGGGCGGCUGGCACGUUGUCUUCCCCGCGGGCAGCGACCUCAAAGUCUGCGACAUCGGCGGUUGGGGAGGGGGUGCACCCCUCCUCGUCAUUCUCAAUCGCAAGCCCUCCACUCUUUCCUGUGCGGUGCAGACCAACAGCCGUCCGGCGGGGAGAAGGCAGGGUGUCACCGACAGGAGCGCACCGCGUAGCACCACUGCUUUCCGCCGCCGACCACCACGAGGGCGCCUCUGCUGGUCGCUCUUGUGA